GACGAACGCUGGCGGCGUGCUUAACACGUGCAAGUCGAGCGGUAAGGCCCUUUCGGGGGUACACGAGCGGCGAACGGGUGAGUAACACGUGGGUGACCUGCCCUCAGCUCUGGGAUAAGCCCGGGAAACUGGGUCUAAUACUGGAUAUGACUCCACGGUGCAUGCCGUGGGGUGGAAAGCCUUGUGCGGCUGAGGAUGGGCCCGCGGCCUAUCAGCUUGUUGGUGGGGUGAUGGCCACCAAGGCGACGACGGGUAGCCGGCCUGAGAGGGCGACCGGCCACACUGGGACUGAGACACGGCCCAGACUCCUACGGGAGGCAGCAGUGGGGAAUCUUGCGCAAUGGGCGAAAGCCUGACGCAGCGACGCCGCGUGAGGGAUGACGGCCUGGUGU
Molecule: ribosomal RNA, 392 nt
Filed under: uncultured bacterium
Lineage: Bacteria
Description: bacterial SSU rRNA
Rfam family: Bacterial small subunit ribosomal RNA
Source: RNAcentral